AUACAGAGGGUGCAAGCGUUAAUCGGAAUUACUGGGCGUAAAGCGCGCGUAGGCGGUUUGAUAAGUCGGAUGUGAAAUCCCUGGGCUCAACCUGGGAACUGCAUUCGAAACUGUCUGACUAGAGUAUGGUAGAGGGUGGUGGAAUUCCUAGUGUAGCGGUGAAAUGCGUAGAUAUUAGGAGGAACAUCAGUGGCGAAGGCGACCACCUGGACCAAUACUGACGCUGAGGCGUGAAAGCGUGGGGAGCAAACAGGAUUAGAAACCCUAGUAGUCC
Molecule: ribosomal RNA, 274 nt
Filed under: uncultured bacterium
Lineage: Bacteria
Description: partial 16S ribosomal RNA
Rfam family: Bacterial small subunit ribosomal RNA
Source: RNAcentral